This 741-nucleotide ribosomal RNA is filed under the name uncultured Pantoea sp. Its description in RNAcentral is "bacterial SSU rRNA". It matches the Rfam family "Bacterial small subunit ribosomal RNA", at positions 28 to 759 of the family's 1533-position model. The record is from RNAcentral. Lineage: Bacteria; Pseudomonadati; Pseudomonadota; Gammaproteobacteria; Enterobacterales; Erwiniaceae.
AUUGAACGCUGGCGGCAGGCCUAACACAUGCAAGUCGGACGGUAGCACAGAGGAGCUUGCUCCUCGGGUGACGAGUGGCGGACGGGUGAGUAAUGUCUGGGGAUCUGCCCGAUAGAGGGGGAUAACCACUGGAAACGGUGGCUAAUACCGCAUAACGUCGCAAGACCAAAGAGGGGGACCUUCGGGCCUCUCACUAUCGGAUGAACCCAGAUGGGAUUAGCUAGUAGGCGGGGUAACGGCCCACCUAGGCGACGAUCCCUAGCUGGUCUGAGAGGAUGACCAGCCACACUGGAACUGAGACACGGUCCAGACUCCUACGGGAGGCAGCAGUGGGGAAUAUUGCACAAUGGGCGCAAGCCUGAUGCAGCCAUGCCGCGUGUAUGAAGAAGGCCUUCGGGUUGUAAAGUACUUUCAGCGGGGAGGAAGGCAGUGAGGUUCAUAACCUUACUGAUUGACGUUACCCGCAGAAGAAGCACCGGCUAACUCCGUGCCAGCAGCCGCGGUAAUACGGAGGGUGCAAGCGUUAAUCGGAAUUACUGGGCGUAAAGCGCACGCAGGCGGUCUGUUAAGUCAGAUGUGAAAUCCCCGGGCUUAACCUGGGAACUGCAUUUGAAACUGGCAGGCUUGAGUCUCGUAGAGGGGGGGUAGAAUUCCAGGUGUAGCGGUGAAUGCGUAGAGAUCUGGAGGAAUACCGGUGGCGAAGGCGGCCCCCUGGACGAGACUGACGCUCAGGUGCGAAAG